UGACGAGUGGCGGACGGGUGAGUAAUGUCUGGGAAACUGCCCGAUGGCGGGGGAUAACUACUGGAAACGGUAGCUAAUACCGCAUAACGUCGCGAGACCAAGUGGGGGGACCUUCGGGCCUCACGCCAUCGGAUGUGCCCAGAUGGGAUUAGCUAGUAGGUGGGGUAAUGGCUCACCUAGGCGACGAUCCCUAGCUGGUCUGAGAGGAUGACCAGCCACACUGGAACUGAGACACGGUCCAG
RNAcentral lists this ribosomal RNA (242 nucleotides) under uncultured bacterium. RNAcentral's name for it is "partial 16S ribosomal RNA". It matches the Rfam family "Bacterial small subunit ribosomal RNA", at positions 89 to 334 of the family's 1533-position model. The record is from RNAcentral.